ACACAACAUCCCGUAGUAUCCAUGCGUCCGUUUAGUUGUCCAUGCCAAGUCCAUGCGUUGUCCGUUUCCCGCUGUCGGCCAUGUUUUCUUUGUGUCGCACAAACAAUAAAUUGUGUGUAUUGAUAGCCUGAUAUUAUAGGCCAACAACCCGAGGUCGCAUUAGUAAUAAUUUGCUGCGACAUAGUUCAUUCUGUACUGCUUAGAAUACAUAACUGGACCGCAGAAAUACCGCUUGGUCAUCAGAAUGCUCAGUGAAAGCAAUAUAUGCUAUAAGGAUGUUUACAACAUCAGAUGCUCUAGAGAGACUACCAAACUUCAGCUACAUUCUUACACAUUCCGGACAGUUGACAUAGCGGUCUCUGUAGCAAGCAUCUGCAAAUGAUGUGAAUUUUAAGGGUUGUAUGCUGACUUCAGUGCAAAUUAAGCUAUGCCCAGAUCGGAUGAUGCAUUUUGAACAAGUCAGAACUACAUCAACUUGCUUAUGGCGACAGUCUGUUGAGGGCAAACUGUAAGCAACGAGCCUCUACUGAACAGGAGUGAGGCCAGAAGGGUUUCUGAAGAUAGGAGGCUUGGCAUCAUCAUGAUCAUCUCCUAGCCGUUUUCGGCUACAGCGACUGCUUUUCUACCGCUGAGAGCGUUGCUGGUGCGCUCUCAGGUGACUGACGUAGUCAAUCUUUGCAGAAAAUGUGCGGCCACACUCGCUGCAGGUCAGCACCCCUCCGUCGUAAUUAUACGUGAUGGCCACAGGAGGACUGGCCUUUAGCUCGUCACGCUUAGCGUCGCUUGUGAAGGCCCUCUGCACAUCUGGGGUGCCUUACGACAACAACAACUUGUUCCUGUCGCACAUGUCCAAAAAAAUAUGGCUUGAACGAUGGGCAAGCAGAAAAUGAUCAUCCUGCUAUUAUUCUAUGGAACAUGAGAUGGAUGCUAAGACUGGGUUACCAUUACCAAAACCAGUGAAAGAUUGUUAUUCUAACGCUACUACACCUACCAAAGGCAAAAUAAUUGUAUGAACAAACUAACACUUUAUAAACACUGGGAUCAGAAGGUUGGAAUUGUCAAUUUAAAGUCACUGAAUAUCACAUAAAAGUUAUACAUUUGUUAUAUCAAAAACUAUAAUUAUAGGAUUAACAUUGAAGGUCAAUUAUAUCAAUAAAUUUAGUAAAACUGUUACAGUAAUUUACAAGUACGUUUACACGUUUGGAAACUACCGGGCAGGUCGUAAGACGGGGAGCAACUGGCGAGGCCCGCACCUCGCGGCUCGCAUCUAGAAUGUAUUGUCAGCAUUCCUGUUACAUAAGAAGAUUAAUUUGUUUUGGCUUACAUGGAAAAAUGAUUGUAUUUAACUUUUGAAACAAAACGAAAUUUCCUUCACUGAAAACAAAUGGGGAUACAAAAGUUUUCAAUGCUAAGUAAUGAAGAAAAUUUGGACGUUUGUGUUA
Cydia splendana is the source of this 1442-nucleotide long non-coding RNA. RefSeq lists it as uncharacterized. The transcript has 3 exons. Lineage: Eukaryota; Metazoa; Arthropoda; Insecta; Lepidoptera; Tortricidae. The record is from RefSeq and is a predicted model, not a curated record.